AGGGGCAAAUAAACAGGAAGCAAAGAGGUUAAGUGUUGAGGUGAAAGUGAAAUUCUCCCUUCAUCACCUAAGAAGGCACUCCUCAGUGCAGAAGAUGCUCCACGUUCAGCAGGCCCAAGCAAAUCGCCGAGUGUCUACCAGGAGUUGGAAGAAACAGGAGUCCAUAUUUGUGUUGGAAAAGCUGUGCAUAUUUCAGAUGACUGAUAAGAGAGUACUGAUCUGUCCUCGGCCUUGUA
Molecule: long non-coding RNA, 236 nt
Organism: Dipodomys spectabilis (banner-tailed kangaroo rat)
Lineage: Eukaryota; Metazoa; Chordata; Mammalia; Rodentia; Heteromyidae
Exons: 2
Source: RefSeq, a predicted model, not a curated record